This 419-nucleotide ribosomal RNA is filed under the name bacterium. RNAcentral describes it as "partial 16S ribosomal RNA". It matches the Rfam family "Bacterial small subunit ribosomal RNA", at positions 355 to 776 of the family's 1533-position model. The record is from RNAcentral.
UGGGGGAUAUUGCACAAUGGGCGAAAGCCUGAUGCAGCGACGCCGCGUGGGGGAUGAAGGCCUUCGGGUUGUAAAAUUCUUUUGCUCUGAACAAGGCGCACCAUGGGGUGUGUUGAGUGUAGGGGUUGAUUAGCGCCGGCUAACUACGUGCCAGCAGCCGCGGUAAUACGUAGGGCGCGAGCGUUGUCCGGAAUUAUUGGGCGUAAAGGGCUUGUAGGUGGCUGGUUGCGUCUGUCGUGAAAGCUCAUGGCUUAACUGUGGGUUUGCGGUGGGUACGGGCUGGCUUGAGUGCAGUAGGGGAGGCUGGAAUUCCUGGUGUAGCGGUGGAAUGCGCAGAUAUCAGGAGGAAUACCGGUGGCGAAGGCGGGUCUCUGGGCUGUUACUGACACUGAGGAGCGAAAGCAUGGGGAGCGAACAGG